Molecule: ribosomal RNA, 447 nt
Filed under: uncultured bacterium
Lineage: Bacteria
Description: partial 16S ribosomal RNA
Rfam family: Bacterial small subunit ribosomal RNA
Source: RNAcentral
AACGAACGCUGGCGGCAGGCUUCAUACAUGCAAGUCGAACGGCCCGCAAGGGCAGUGGCGCACGGGUGCGUAACACGUGGGAAUAUGCCCUUCAGUACGGAACAACGUCGGGAAACUGACGCUAAUACCGUAUAAUGUCUCCGGACCAAAGAUUUAUCGCUGAAGGAUUAGCCCGCGUCUGAUUAGGUAGUUGGAGAGGUAAUGGCUCACCAAGCCGACGAUCAGUAGCUGGUCUGAGAGGAUGAUCAGCCACACUGGGACUGAGACACGGCCCAGACUCCUACGGGAGGCAGCAGUAAGGAAUAUUGGACAAUGGGGGAAACCCUGAUCCAGCCAUGCCGCGUGAGUGAAGAAGGCCUUCGGGUUGUAAAGCUCUUUUACCCCUGACGAUAAUGACGGUAAGGGGAGAAAAAGCCACGGCUAACUUCGUGCCAGCAGCCGCCGUAA